This 453-nucleotide ribosomal RNA is filed under the name uncultured bacterium. RNAcentral's name for it is "bacterial SSU rRNA". It matches the Rfam family "Bacterial small subunit ribosomal RNA", at positions 340 to 786 of the family's 1533-position model. The record is from RNAcentral.
UACGGGAGGCAGCAGUGGGGAAUAUUGCACAAUGGGCGCAAGCCUGAUGCAGCCAUGCCGCGUGUAUGAAGAAGGCCUUCGGGUUGUAAAGUACUUUCAGUCGUGAGGAAGGUGUUAAGGUUAAUAACCUUAGCAAUUGACGUUAGCGACAGAAGAAGCACCGGCUAACUCCGUGCCAGCAGCCGCGGUAAUACGGAGGGUGCGAGCGUUAAUCGGAAUUACUGGGCGUAAAGGGCACGCAGGCGGUUAAUUAAGUUGGAUGUGAAAUCCCCGGGCUUAACCUGGGAAUGGCAUUCAAGACUGGUUAGCUAGAGUCUUGUAGAGGGGGUAGAAUUCCAUGUGUAGCGGUGAAAUGCGUAGAGAUGUGGAGGAAUACCGGUGGCGAAGGCGGCCCCUGGGACAAAGACUGACGCUCAUGUGCGAAAGCGUGGGGAGCAAACAGGGAUUAGUACC